This 461-nucleotide ribosomal RNA is filed under the name uncultured bacterium. Its description in RNAcentral is "partial 16S ribosomal RNA". It matches the Rfam family "Bacterial small subunit ribosomal RNA", at positions 29 to 507 of the family's 1533-position model. The record is from RNAcentral.
ACGAACGCUGGCGGCGUGCUUAACACAUGCAAGUCGAACGGAAAGGCCCUUCGGGGUACUCGAGUGGCGAACGGGUGGGUCACACGUGGGUGAUCUGCCCUGCACUUUGGGAUAAGCCUGGGAAACUGGGUCUAAUACCGGAUAGGACCACGGCAUUCAUGUGCUGUGGUGGAAAGCUUUUGCGGUGUGGGAUGGGCCCGCGGCCUAUCAGCUUGUUGGUGGGGUAAUGGCCUACCAAGGCGACGACGGGUAGCCGGCCUGAGAGGGUGACCGGCCACACUGGGACUGAGAUACGGCCCAGACUCCUACGGGAGGCAGCAGUGGGGAAUAUUGCACAAUGGGCGCAAGCCUGAUGCAGCGACGCCGCGUGAGGGAUGACGGCCUUCGGGUUGUAAACCUCUUUCGCCAGGGACGAAGCGCAAGUGACGGUACCUGGAGAAGAAGGACCGGCCAACUACGUG